This 75-nucleotide transfer RNA is filed under the name Clostridiaceae bacterium. RNAcentral describes it as "tRNA-Gln". It matches the Rfam family "tRNA". Rfam says of the family: Transfer RNA (tRNA) molecules are approximately 80 nucleotides in length. Their secondary structure includes four short double-helical elements and three loops (D, anti-codon, and T loops). The record is from RNAcentral. Lineage: Bacteria; Bacillati; Bacillota; Clostridia; Eubacteriales; Clostridiaceae.
UGGGGUGUCGCCAAGCGUUAAGGCACGGGACUUUGACUCCCGUAUUCGCAGCUUCAAAUCCUCCCAUCCCAGCCA